Molecule: long non-coding RNA, 488 nt
Filed under: Homo sapiens (human)
Lineage: Eukaryota; Metazoa; Chordata; Mammalia; Primates; Hominidae
Description: non-protein coding lnc-PLEC-3:3
Source: RNAcentral
ACUUUUGUUUUCCUGCUCCCAGCAGGGUUAGGCUUGCUGAGGGGCAGGCACAGGAGUCCUGGCUGAGCUCAUGGCCUGAGGCUGCCUAGCGGCCACGGGGAAUGGUUGCAAUGGCGGAGGCAGAGGCAGGGGUGGCAGUGGAGGUCCGUGGACUGCCCCCUGCCGUGCCCGACGAGCUGCUCACUCUCUACUUUGAAAACCGCCGACGCUCUGGAGGGGGACCUGUGUUGAGCUGGCAGAGACUGGGCUGUGGGGGCGUCCUCACCUUCAGAGAGCCUGCAGGUGAGAGGGCUGGCUGAAGGGACAGCCUGGGUGCCCUGAUAUUCUAAUGCCUGACAUCCUGCCCCGCCCCUGCCCACAGACGCCGAGAGGGUCUUGGCCCAGGCAGAUCACGAACUACAUGGUGCCCAGCUGAGCCUGCGGCCAGCUCCACCACGAGCCCCUGCACGCCUGCUGCUCCAAGGACUGCCCCCUGGCACCACGCCCCA